UACGUAGGGUGCGAGCGUUGUCCGGAAUUAUUGGGCGUAAAGAGCUCGUAGGCGGUUUGUCGCGUCGACUGUGAAAACCUGGGGCUUAACUCUGGGCCUGCAGUCGAUACGGGCAGACUUGAGUUCGGUAGGGGAGACUGGAAUUCCUGGUGUAGCGGUGAAAUGCGCAGAUAUCAGGAGGAAUACCGGUGGCGAAGGCGGCAUCCUGGACCGACAUUGACGCUGAGGAGCGAAAGCUAGGGGAGCAAACGGG
RNAcentral lists this ribosomal RNA (253 nucleotides) under uncultured bacterium. RNAcentral describes it as "partial 16S ribosomal RNA". It matches the Rfam family "Bacterial small subunit ribosomal RNA", at positions 524 to 776 of the family's 1533-position model. The record is from RNAcentral.